Molecule: unclassified non-coding RNA, 715 nt
Filed under: Hevea brasiliensis (rubber tree)
Lineage: Eukaryota; Viridiplantae; Streptophyta; Magnoliopsida; Malpighiales; Euphorbiaceae
Source: RNAcentral
AGAUAGGAUUCUUUUUCAUUAAUUUCACUUCGAGUUUGUUAAAUAGGUAGACAUAAUUACCUUUGGCAUAUUUUAAAAGAAACAAACUUAAAAUUGUUUGUGAUUUCAAAUUAGCUUUCCUUUUCUCUCCAUGUCAGCCUAACCAUUAAUUUCAAUUGGAAGGGCUUGUUUUUAUCUUGGUGUGUGGAUGAAUGAACUUACCAACGGUGACCUCAAUCACCAGCGAGCGAUCACGGAUGCAACCUGUACCUGUUCCAUUUUUAAUUCCAUCACCCUGAUAACCCUCAGGGCAAGAACAAUGAAAGCUUCCUGGGGUGUUGAUGCAUUUUUUGUCGCAGUUGUUGAGCGUUGAAUUUUUACACUCAUCAAUAUCUGCAAAAGAAACAGAAACAGAGCGGAACAAGCUACUAGUAUUGAGUAAUGAGCUCUGUUUUGAGGCGUAUAGGUCAAGCAAUCCAAUUAGGAUCAGGGCAGAAAUAGAAUAACACUACCAAUAAUCUUACUUUUGCAUUAAAUGAAAGAAGGGCGAAGAGAGGUAAACCUUGGCAACCAUUAGGGAGGUAUGGAUUCCCCUGAUAACCAUCUACGCAUUUGCAAAGGUACCCAGACCCAUUUUCAGGAUCCUGACAAGUGCUAUUUCCUUGACAUGCAUUAUACAUCAUAUUGUUCCUAAUUGUUGUGCAGUUGCUGGCCCCAAUAUUCCAAUCCAGCACCA